This 2236-nucleotide long non-coding RNA is filed under the name Homo sapiens (human). Its description in RNAcentral is "HSALNT0336526". Lineage: Eukaryota; Metazoa; Chordata; Mammalia; Primates; Hominidae. The record is from RNAcentral.
CGGGCCGAUACCGCGGGCGCCCCCUGGUCGCGUGGAGGGCGAUGAGCGAACGACCCGGGACUUGUCUGAAUGGGACCCCAGCAAGGCACACGUGGUCUUCAAUGCGAUGGGCGCUUCCAGGGGACCCGGCGUCCCUUGGGUCCAGGAAGUCUUAUACUGUCUCCUCUCACGGCCCCGACAGAAACGGUUUCUGAGGAGUAGAAGUGUCCUAAGUGGAUUGGAAAUUACAAAUGCCGGAAAGAACCUAGGGAUGGAAAGCAGCCCUCAACUUUGACCAACCGCCGUGGGUUAGGUUUACAGUGGGGAAAAAAAAUAGAAAUUGUGCCUGACUUCAAUGACCGCCACUAUUUGAAGCAAACUGCCCAUCCAAGCCUUAUCAUCCCCUUUAACACCCUAAUGUUUCUGUCCAUGUGGACUUCGACGUGGUCCUCUAGAAUGGUUUUGUACUUCCCCGCGACUCAGCCCACCAGCACCCAGUUGAAAUAAACAGCCAUGUUGCUCACAGAAAGCCUGUUUGGUGAUCUCUUCACACGGACACAUGAAACAUUUGGUGCCAAAGACCCGGGUCAGUGGGACUCCUUUUGGAGACCAGUCCCCUGUCCUCACCCUCACUCCGUGAAGAGAUCCACCUACGACCUCAGGUCCUCAGACCAACCAGCCCAAGGAACAUCUCACCGAUUUUAAAUCAGGACCCCACUAGAAAUUGGACUGUCCAACUGGCCCAAGGCUCUGAUCGACUCCUUCCCAGAUCUCCUCGGCUUAGCAGCUGAAGACUGACACUGCCUGAUCGCCUCGGAAGCCCCUUGGACCAUCACGGACGCUGAGCUUCGGGUAACUCUCACAGUGAAGGAAGACAAGAAUGUCAGGCCUCUGAGCCCAAGCUAAGCCAUCAUAUCCCCAGUGACCUGCGCGUAUACAUCCAGAUGGCCUGAAGCAACUGAAGAUCCACAGAAGUGAAAAUAUCCUUAACUGAUGACAUUCCACCAUUGUGAUUUGUUUCUGCCCUACCCUAACUGAUCAAUGUUCUUUAUAAUCUCUCCGACCCUUAAGAAGUUUCUUUGUAAUUCUCCCCACCCUUGAGAAUGUACUUUGUGAGAUCCACCGCCUGCCCCCAAAACAUUGCUCUUAACUCCACUGCCUAUCCCAAAACCUAUAAGAACCAAUGAUAAUCCCACCACCCUUUGCUGACUCCUUUUUCGGACUCAGCCCGCCUGCACUCAGGUGAAAUAAACAGCCAUGUUGCUCACAGAAAGCCUGUUUGGUGAUCUCUUCACACGGACAUGUGAGACACUCGCUACCACACCCGACUAAUUUUUUGUAUUUUUAGUAGAGAGGGGGUUUCACAAUGUUGGGCAGGCUGGUCUUGAACUCCUGACCUCAGGUGAUCCACACGCUUUGGCCUCCCAAAGUGCUGGGAUUACAGGUGUGAGCCACCUCGCCCAGCCAGGAUAACUUUUUCUGUAAGAUGAAAGACAUCAUAAUGCAAGCCAUUUUGGAAAAUAUUUUGGGAUAAAAUGCUAGUAAUAUAUCUGACAAAAUAAAGAUAAUAUCCCUACCAUAAAAAUAAACCUUACAAAUUUAUUUUUAGAAAAGAUGAAGAGCUCGAUUGCUUAAUGGUCAAAGUAUAUGAAUAGGUAAUUAACAGAAGAGGAGAUGCAAAGGCUAACAAAUAUAUAAAAACCUUUUUAUCUUACUAGUUGUCAGGAAAGUAAAAAAUGAAUUAAUGAGAUACCAUUAUUUUCACCCAUCGGAUUGGCAAAAAGUAAAGACUGCGCAUAGAUGCUGAUGACUGCCCAUAAAAAGGGACCCACAACGCUGCUGUUAAGAGUUUGAGUGUGAGUCAAUACAACAUUUGGAGGAAGUAAUCUUUGUAAAAUUAUCGGUUGGGAUUAAUUACAAUUGAAAAUAGGCUGAGCACGGUGGCUCACACCUGUAAUCCCAGCACUUUGUGAGACUGAGGUGGGAGGAUCUCUUAAGGCCAAAAGUUCAGGACCAGCCUAGGCAACCUAGCAAGCUCCUAUUUCUACAAAAAAAUAAAAAUAAAAAUAAAUUGGCUGGGUAAGGUGCUGAGAGUUUGUAAUCCCAGCUACUUGGGAGACUGAAUCAGGAGAAUAGUUUAAACCCAGUGUCUCACACAUCCAUGUGAAGAGACCACCAAACAGGCUUUGUGUGAGCAACAAGGCUAUUUAUUUCACCUGGGUGCAUGUGGGCUGAGUCCAAAAAGAGAGUCAGCAAA